GACGAACGCUGGCGGCGUGCUUAACACAUGCAAGUCGAACGGAAAGGCCCUGCUUUUGUGGGGUGCUCGAGUGGCGAACGGGUGAGUAACACGUGAGUAACCUGCCCUUGACUUUGGGAUAACUUCAGGAAACUGGGGCUAAUACCGGAUAGGAGCUCCUGCUGCAUGGUGGGGGUUGGAAAGAUUCGGCGGUUGGGGGUGGACUCGCGGCUUAUCAGCUUGUUGGUGGGGUAGUGGCUUACCAAGGCUUUGACGGGUAGCCGGCCUGAGAGGGUGACCGGCCACAUUGGGACUGAGAUACGGCCCAGACUCCUACGGGAGGCAGCAGUGGGGAAUAUUGCACAAUGGGCGGAAGCCUGAUGCAGCAACGCCGCGUGCGGGAUGACGGCCUUCGGGUUGUAAACCGCUUUCGCCUGUGACGAAGCGUGAGUGACGGUAAUGGGUAAAGAAGCACCGGCUAACUACGCG
RNAcentral lists this ribosomal RNA (468 nucleotides) under uncultured bacterium. Its description in RNAcentral is "partial 16S ribosomal RNA". It matches the Rfam family "Bacterial small subunit ribosomal RNA", at positions 28 to 507 of the family's 1533-position model. The record is from RNAcentral.